This is a long non-coding RNA of Haliotis rubra (blacklip abalone), 448 nucleotides long. RefSeq lists it as uncharacterized. The record is from RefSeq and is a predicted model, not a curated record. The transcript has 2 exons. NCBI's taxonomy places the organism in Eukaryota, Metazoa, Mollusca, Gastropoda, Lepetellida, Haliotidae.
UCGAACAAAAUCACAUUACAUUACGUAAAAGGGAAUUAUGACGUAUUUUUAAAGUUUGUGGUGCUGUAUUCUAAAGGUAGGCCGAGGAAGAAAAUAACAAUUAGGAGACAACCAGAAACCUGGCAAUCUGAAAUUGAGAAAAUGAGAUGUGGUUUAUCAGUGCUCCAGAAACCAAGAAAGAAAAUUGUCAAUUUUCUCAAGCAUCAGGUUUCAAAAGGACAAAAUAGUAUAAACUGUAAAUAUUGUACUGCAAAAACUUAAAGAUCAUCUGAUUCUUUCAAAUUACUAUACUACAUGUAUAUCAGACAUUCAUGUGUUGUCAUUGUGGCAUAAAUAUCACAAGUACAGUGUGUGUGACUCUGCAUUAGUCAUCCAUCACAAAAGAUGGAAAAUGUAACAAAUUGUGCUGAAUGUGCCAAAUCAUUGAAAUGCAUCUAUUUUUAUUUCA